UAAUUUUUCUAUAAUUUUACCCUCUUUGGUUUUUCUCUCUGGCGUUCCGAGAACCUUAGGCCUGUCAAGGGUUUUGAGCGUUCUUGCGUGAAUGAGCGCUUUGUAGGUCUCCUGAAGCUUUUUUACCUUCCUCAACGAUGUCUGAUAGGAAACGUUGAUGGAAGGCAACAAUCUGUCUCUUUUUGCGCGCUCUUCUCGUAAACCUGAGAGACGUCUAGGGUUAACUUUUCAUCUUCUUUUUUUUGUCCUUGCGGUUUGGCUUCCUUGCUUCGCAGGAAGUUUGACAUUGCACGGGUGGCUUACUCGGCUCCUUUGUUUUUGUUCGAUUUCGCUACGUCGACGACGUUCCCUUUUCCUGUUGGAUCGGAAGUUACUACAUUUUGAUCUGAAGUAAGGACGGGAGUUCGCUAGCUGUGAAGGUGAAAUCUUGGAAUCUUUCUUGAUGAGAAGGGAAAAAGGAAAUUGCAUUAUGAGGCUUAAUCUUAAUGAGUGAGCUGCAGAUAAAUUUCUAUUUUUUUUCUCUUCUACAUGAUGAAACUCAUCUAAUUGGGCUUGCUAACAUGAGAGAUACCAAGACUAAUGCUAUAAACAUAUCAUAAGGUUGCAUGUUGUUGUUUUUUUUGUUUAUGAUUAAAGAAUACUUGUGGGCAAUGAUGAUGAUUUUUAGGCCAGACAUUGUCUGAGUAGGACUACCUUGUAAUACUUUUGUAUUUUCUAUGAUGUUUAUGUUGAAUUUCAGAAUUGCCAGAAACUUCAAGGAACCAUGUCUGUGAUCACUAGGGGGAUUCAUGUACUAUGAUAUGAAGAAUAUUACUCUACUUGUCUUUGUUCAUGGAUCCCGUUGUCAAUUGAGCUACUUGUUAUUUGCUCUUUUUUUUUUUGGAUCACCUUCUUUCCUUUUGAUUAUUGUCUUUCUUUGUUUUUGGGUGUUAUACAGUGUUGUGCAGUGUGGUAACCUGGUAGGUAUUAGUGUCUUUGAAAUUAUAAUGCUGUGUCAGAUGUAUAUUUGUGGUGGAUGGGCUUGUUGUGGAAGAAUCAUGGCUCUUUAGGUUGUUGCACCAAGUUCUUCUGCUUCAAAUAAAAGUGAUCAGUGCCUAUGUU
Molecule: long non-coding RNA, 1101 nt
Organism: Dendrobium catenatum
Lineage: Eukaryota; Viridiplantae; Streptophyta; Magnoliopsida; Asparagales; Orchidaceae
Exons: 2
Source: RefSeq, a predicted model, not a curated record